UAGGAAAGUAGCGAAGCACAUGAUGACGGCUUCCAGGAAAAGCUUCUGGCAAUGCAUAUGCGGCCCGUACCAAAACCGACACAGGUGGGCAGGGAGAGAAUCCCGAGGUGAGCGAGAGAACUGUUGCCAAGGAACUCGGCAAAAUGACUCCGUAAGUUAGCGAGAAGGAGUGCUUAAGCAAUUAAGCCGCAGUGAAGAGGCCCAAGCGACUGUUUAACUAAAACACAGCUCUCUGCGAAGUCGCAAGACGAAGUAUAGGGGGUGACACCUGCCCGGUGCUGGAAGGUUAAGAGGAUCUGUUAAGAGCGAUCUGAAGCAGUGAUCCGAAGCCCCAGUGAACGGCGGCCGUAACAAUAACGGUCCUAAGGUAGCGAAAUUCCUUGUCAGGUAAGUUCUGACCCGCACGAAAGGUGUAACGAUUUGGGCGCUGUCUCGGCAGCAGACUCGGUGAAAUCUUAGUACCUGUGAAAAUGCAGGUUACCCGCAACUAGACGGAAAGACCCCAUGGAGCUUUACUGCAGCCUGAUAUUGAAUUCUGGUCAUACAUGUACAGGAUAGGUGGGAGACAAAGAGACGUGCACGCCAGUGUACGAGGAGUCGACGUUGGGAUACCACUCUUGUGUGACUGGGGUUCUAACCUGGUAUCGAGAACAGGUACGGGGAGAGUGUCAGGUGGGCAGUUUGACUGGGGCGGUCGCCUCCCAAAGAGUAACGGAGGCGCCCAAAGGUACGCUCAGAUUGGAUGGAAACCAAUCGUCGAGUGCAAUUGCAGAAGCGUGCUUGACUGUGAGACAGACAAGUCGAACAGGGACGAAAGUCGGGAAUAGUGAUCCGGCGGUGCCGAAUGGAAGGGCCGUCGCUCAACGGAUAAAAGCUACCCUGGGGAUAACAGGCUGAUCUCGCCCAAGAGUUCACAUCGACGGCGAGGUUUGGCACCUCGAUGUCGGCUCAUCGCAUCCUGGAGCUGGAUUCGGUUCCAAGGGUUGGGCUGUCCGCCCAUUAAAGCGGUACGCGAGCUGGGUUCAGAACGUCGUGAGACAGUUCGGUCCCUAUCUGUUGUGGGCGAAGGAGAUCUGCGGAGAGCUGUCCUCAGUACGAGAGGACCGGGAUGGACCUACCGCUGGUGCACCGGUUGUUCCGCCAGGGGCAUAGCCGGGUAGCUAAGUAGGGAAAGGAUAAGCGCUGAAAGCAUCUAAGCACGAAGCCUACUCCAAGAUGAGAUCUCCCAUUCGCAAGAAGUAAGACCCCUUAAAGACGAUAAGGUAGAUAGGCCAGGGAUGUAAGUGCAGUGAUGUACGGAGUUGACUGGUACUAAUCGGUCGAGGACGAG
This 1330-nucleotide ribosomal RNA is filed under the name metagenome. RNAcentral describes it as "bacterial LSU rRNA". It matches the Rfam family "Bacterial large subunit ribosomal RNA", at positions 1575 to 2925 of the family's 2925-position model. The record is from RNAcentral.